AGGACGAACGCUGGCGGCGUGCUUAACACAUGCAAGUCGAACGGAAAGGCCCUUCGAGGUACUCGAGUGGCGAACGGGUGAGUAACACGUGGGUGAUCUGCCCCGCACUUUGGGAUAAGCCUGGGAAACUGGGUCUAAUACCGAAUAGGACCAUGGCAUGCAUGUGCUGUGGUGGAAAGCUUUUGCGGUGUGGGAUGGGCCCGCGGCCUAUCAGCUUGUUGGUGGGGUUAAGGCCUACCAAGGCGACGACGGGUAGCCGGCCUGAGAGGGUGUCCGGCCACACUGGGACUGAGAUACGGCCCAGACUCCUACGGGAGGCAGCAGUGGGGAAUAUUGCACAAUGGGCGCAAGCCUGAUGCAGCGACGCCGCGUGGGGAUGACGGCCUUCGGGUUGUAAACCCUUUCAGUAGGGACGAAGCGCAAGUGACGGUACCUACAGAAGAAGCACCGGCCAACUACGUGCCAGCAGCCGC
This 473-nucleotide ribosomal RNA is filed under the name uncultured bacterium. Its description in RNAcentral is "SSU rRNA". It matches the Rfam family "Bacterial small subunit ribosomal RNA", at positions 26 to 518 of the family's 1533-position model. The record is from RNAcentral.